Molecule: small nucleolar RNA, 85 nt
Organism: Sphaerodactylus townsendi
Lineage: Eukaryota; Metazoa; Chordata; Lepidosauria; Squamata; Sphaerodactylidae
Product: small nucleolar RNA SNORD121A
Exons: 1
Source: RefSeq, a predicted model, not a curated record
AUGGGAAAGGUAAUGAUGUUCACUUUUCCAAGCACAUAUCCGAUGUCACAGGCUGUGGAAAAUUAUCUGACUGAACCUUUUCCGA